Molecule: long non-coding RNA, 304 nt
Filed under: Aplysia californica (California sea hare)
Lineage: Eukaryota; Metazoa; Mollusca; Gastropoda; Aplysiida; Aplysiidae
Description: uncharacterized LOC106012497, transcript variant X3
Source: RNAcentral
GCCAUGCCGAUAAGACAAUUGACAAGGUGUCCGAUGGUAACUUAGAAUAGGAUCAGGUGAUCGCAGGCCUAUAUGGCUUGUGGCGGCUCGUAUCACAGAACAGAUGGCUAAACUGUAAAAUGUACCUGCACUUGCUCCGAGCUGAGUUUCAAGUUGUUUAGAACCUGAAAAUCAACUCAGACAUCGGUCCACGAUUGUCAUUCAACUCAACUACGGGAACUUCUACUUCCCCUCCAUCAUCAGCCAGACCGUUAGAUCUAUCUCCAUCAGGGGCGAAAGCUGACUUGUUUGACAGGGUAAUCAA